UAGAGUACUAAAUUGCGUGUGCACUGAAAAAGUUUGCACGUGCUGUUGUUGUGUGUUUUGCGGGUGAUCAACUAAGAAUGCUUGCGCAAUUGAUAACAGGUGCAAACCGCAGUAUUUAAAUGAGGUGUUGCGUGUCUUACGGUUUGCGCCAUGGAGAGUCUGGAUGGAAAGCAGGAUCGCAAGCGCAAAAUGAAAUUUGACGCGGUGGAGUUAGAAAUAUUAGUGGAAGAGGCAAAUAAACACAUUCAUGAACUACAGCAAAGAAAUUUAAACAUUACCAAAAGUGUUGUGCCGUAUUCAGCACCCCUGCCGUGAAAAGCACCCCCUCGUCGACAUAUAUUACCCACACAUCUCUUAUUCACGAGUAAAUGUCAAAAAGGACUAAAUGCUCAUGUUUAAUUUACUACAAAUGACAACGUACACACAAUGACAAAAAUUAUAUUCUCAUUCCGUGUCACGUUCUGUUUAGCGUCCAGUUUUGUGUUAAUGAUUCAUGUUUAAAUGUGCUCAUGGAUUCCACAAUAGUCAUACUUUCCCACAAUCACAGUCACACAUAACAAAAAUCGGGUAAAUGGUUAUUGAUGUCAUUAAUUAAUAGCCUGCUUACUGUGUUGUCUUCCAUAAUAUUUGUAAAUAUAUAUAAUAUAAAUUCCUAAGUAUGUGUUUGUGUGAGUGUGUAUGAGGGGGUGCUUUUCACGGCAGGGGUGCUGAAUACGGCACAACACCACAAUAACAGCAGCCAUCGGUGCGUAAUGCUGGGCAGAUUAGCACCUUCCUUUCGAACGUAUCAAAUACAGAUGCAAUCACAAUCCCCGCAAUUACUUUCGGGCGUGGUAAAUCUCAUUGCGUGUGGUAAAUGAACCUAUUUGCAUUUUCCCCUCCCAGUAUUUAGCGCUUUCUGGCGGGUACGCCCCAUAUUGAUUAUUCAUCAGGGCAAAAGUACUAAAUGAACAGCGUGUGCUAUUUUGCUCAUUUGAGAGACGCAGUCCUCUUUGCACGCUGUUAGUAGAUCAGCUUGCACAUUGGUUUGCGGGUGAUGUAAAGUUUGCACACGUUUUUACGCACGCAAACCUUUAGUAAAUCAGGCCCUUGGUGGCUUUUCUCACAUACGGGCUCCACAUAGGAAAUAAAGUGCUUACAGAUUAUUGUAGGGAUACAAUAUAUAUAUGUAUACAUAUAUGUAGACUUAAAGACAUUAUAUAAUGUCUUUAAGUCUAACCUGAAGGUUGGCUUAGAUCGGGGCUCGGCAACCCGCGGCUCUUUAGCGCCGCCCUAGUGGCUCCUGGAGCUUUUUCAAAAAUGUUGGACCCUUUUUUUCCUUUUUUCUUCUUUUUUUUCUUCUUUUUUUCUUUUUUUCCUUUUUUCCCCUCUUUUUUCUUCUUUUUUUCCUUUUUCUUUUUUCUUUUUUUACUCUUUUUCUUCCUUUUUCAUUUCCUUUUUAAUCUCGACAUUUUUAAUAUUUUCUCGAAAUUUCGACUUUUUUCUCGACAUUUCGACUUUUUUCUCGACAUUUCGACUUAUUUCUCGACAUUUCAACUUUUUCUAGAAAUUGUACUUCAACAUUAAUCUUGAAAUCUCGACUUUUUCUCGAAAUUUCGACUUUUUUCUCGACAUUUCGAUUUUUUUCUCGAAGUGCAUAAUGAAAAAAAAAUCUUCCCCCAGUUCUAACUAAUAUAGAAACAUGCAGCAUGUGUUGCCUUCAUUCUAAGGCUGAUACAAGACUUUUAUACAAGAUUUUUUGCGGCUCCAGACAUAUUUGUUUUUUGUGUUUUUGGUUCAAUACGGCUCUUUCAACAUUUUGGGUUGCUGACCCCUGGCUUAGAUAUUUACUGUUUAAUUUAUAGUAUAGUAUUUUUAGUAUAUUAUACCAGAUAUAGUAUAUAUAGUAUAUAGUAUUUGCAGUACAGUAUUGUGCCCCCUGCUGGUUUGGGAUGAUUAACAAACUUGCUUGGUCAUGUUGGGUUAAAUUACAGGGUGGUUCAUUCACACCCCUCUGUUUUCAGAUAUUUGGUCACAAUACAUAACUGAUUAUCUGAUCUACAUAAAGGAUUUGAUUUUUAGCUUGCUGUAAAGUUAUUUUAAUGAAUUUUAAUGUAAUUUAAGACAUCCAUGCAUGCCUAUUGGUUUAUUGGGAGAUGGUUUUAAGCCAUAUUACAUAAUAUACCUGAUCACAUUCUUAACUGUGUUGAUUUUUAUCAGCAUUGUUAAACACCUAAGAAUGAGUAGUUGUGCUCACUGACGGUAUUAAACACCCCGUAUAAAAGAAGUUAGUCUAGUUUGUAGAGAAUACGCAGCACGAUGUAGAGACCGGAGAUGCAUUUUAAAAUGUGUUGUGCAAAAUUGAGUUCCCAGAGUAAUUUAGAAGCUACAAAGUAUUAACAAAUGGACAAAUGAUUACGGUUUUGUGUGUUUGUUGAAAAUAACACAUUUUACAGAAAGUCCUGCUCAAUGCAAAUGCUUCUGUAGUUGAAUCCUACAUUUUUACGUCAGCUAUCUCACCAUUUCCACCAUGAGAGUUAAUUGUCUGACUGGUUUAAGUAACAAUAAAAAGUCAAAGGAAAAUUUUCUAUAGAGAAUUAUUUUUAUUAUAUUAUUUGAAAGAUUAAUUUUAUACUGUAUGCUACCAAUUCUUUUGUUUGUUUACAAGAUUUGUACAUGAACACAUGUGUGGGUUUCCCAACCAAUCAGUGUAAAUGUUUUUAAAGAUCUGUUUUUUUGCCCUGAAAUGACAAAUGACUGACAUUCACAGCGGUGUGGGUUGUGGGUUUAUUGCAUCUGAUUAUCCACAGGUUGAAUUCUUUAAAAUUUGACGGUUAUGUAGAAUAUCCGAUAAGAAGAGGACAUGUACUUAGAAACUGCUGAACAAUUUUCAAAAAACUCUUAAUGUUGAAGUUUUUUAGAUAGAGUUUUCCAAAAUUGUAGUGUAGGUGAUACCUUUUAGUGUUUCAUUUAAAAAAAGAAAGAACUGUGAACGUUUCUGCCAGAUAACCUUAAGAGAUUGGUGUUUUUCAAACUUUAUGGCUGAUAUUGAUUAAUAUGUGGAUAAUAAAGAAAAACUUGGUUUAA
Long non-coding RNA from Cololabis saira (Pacific saury), 3066 nucleotides. RefSeq lists it as uncharacterized. NCBI's taxonomy places the organism in Eukaryota, Metazoa, Chordata, Actinopteri, Beloniformes, Belonidae. The record is from RefSeq and is a predicted model, not a curated record. The transcript has 2 exons.